GGGAAACUGCCUGAUGGAGGGGGAUAACUACUGGAAACGGUAGCUAAUACCGCAUAACGUCGCAAGACCAAAGAGGGGGACCUUCGGGCCUCUUGCCAUCAGAUGUGCCCAGAUGGGAUUAGCUAGUAGGUGGGGUAACGGCUCACCUAGGCGACGAUCCCUAGCUGGUCUGAGAGGAUGACCAGCCACACUGGAACUGAGACACGGUCCAGACUCCUACGGGAGGCAGCAGUGGGGAAUAUUGCACAAUGGGCGCAAGCCUGAUGCAGCCAUGCCGCGUGUAUGAAGAAGGCCUUCGGGUUGUAAAGUACUUUCAGCGGGGAGGAAGGCGAUAAGGUUAAUAACCUUGUCGAUUGACGUUACCCGCAGAAGAAGCACCGGCUAACUCCGCGCCAGCAGCCGCGGUAAUACGGAGGGUGCAAGCGUUAAUCGGAAUUACUGGGCGUAAAGCGCACGCAGGCGGUCUGUCAAGUCGGAUGUGAAAUCCCCGGGCUCAACCUGGGAACUGCAUUCGAAACUGGCAGGCUAGAGUCUUGUAGAGGGGGGUAGAAUUCCAGGU
Molecule: ribosomal RNA, 559 nt
Filed under: uncultured bacterium
Lineage: Bacteria
Description: bacterial SSU rRNA
Rfam family: Bacterial small subunit ribosomal RNA
Source: RNAcentral